Molecule: ribosomal RNA, 292 nt
Filed under: uncultured bacterium
Lineage: Bacteria
Description: partial 16S ribosomal RNA
Rfam family: Bacterial small subunit ribosomal RNA
Source: RNAcentral
GUGUCAGCCGCCGCGGUAAGACGGAAGGUGCAAGCGUUGCUCGGAAUCACUGGGCGUAAAGGGUGCGUAGGCGGCUUCUUAAGUCUGGUGUGAAAGCCCAGGGCUCAGCUCUGGAAGUGCACUAGAAACUGGGAAGCUUGAGUACCGGAGGGGAGAGUGGAAUUCCUGGUGUAGCGGUGAAAUGCGUAGAUAUCAGGAGGAAUACCGGUGGCGAAAGCGACUCUCUGGACGGUUACUGACGCUGAGGCACGAAAGCGUGGGGAGCAAACAGGAUUAGAUACCCUAGUAGUCC